Molecule: long non-coding RNA, 1773 nt
Organism: Pleuronectes platessa (European plaice)
Lineage: Eukaryota; Metazoa; Chordata; Actinopteri; Pleuronectiformes; Pleuronectidae
Exons: 2
Source: RefSeq, a predicted model, not a curated record
UUUAUUCAGCCACUUUGCGAAACCAUUUCAAACUGUGUGAAAUGGGUCUCAAGAUAUUGAUAGUGUAGGCAUAAGAUUGCUGUGACUUUUCAUCAUGAUGAUUAACUGCUUGGCAGCUGAGGUCAUCAUCUCGACAUGAAAAACGAAACUCAAUUGAACACAGCUGCAAGUGAACGCAUCAUAAGACUUUGAAAAAAGUUACAGCGUGACAAGCUGCGGAGCUGUGGGUCACGGGGAACCGGAGAACGGUUGGCGAAUCUGGAUGAGAGGACGGCGUCGGAGUUACUGUGGACGUUCUUCGCUCAGCAGGUUAGAGUGUCUCCACGCUCUUUUCCCCUCUCCCCUCGUGUUUCUUCCUGUGUGAACUCUGCCGCUGCCUUUCUCAACAUCAGCACUGGCUAUUAGCUAGCUCCUGCUAGCUCCAACAAAGCAUCUCUCAACUGCUACGGACGGACGAGCCUGAAGGACACAGCUGUGAUGACCAAUUGACCAUGUUUUGUCUCUUAUGGCAAAGCAGAAAUAUUAAACACUGGGUUCUUAUCUAAAGUGUAUCAAAUCAGAAAGCAAAAGAUACACAUUGUUGUUAUAAGUUUUUAUUAUUUUAACCAACCAUAAUGAAGAUAGAAAUGCAUUCUUAUCCAUGCCACUUAGCAAUGACUGCCACCACCAAACAGUUGCAGGCCAUCUUUAUUUAAGGGAGGAAUUUAGAAGUGUUGUGUAGCUUCUGAUGAUGAUGCAGUCGUCCACGUGUUGACCACCAUGUUGCUGCUGACGACGUCAGGUGCUGCAGUUCCUCAUCUAUGAAGAGAAGAAACGCACUGUUAAAGAAUGUUUUGAGUUGUGUAUGAAGCACAACAGAUUUCAGAUAGAACCGUUGUACUUUGGUCUGGGUUUGUAUCCUAAUGGUUAAAUGCACAUAUUUUAAGUCGCUUUUGAUAAAAGUACUGAAAGAAAUACAACAUUGUAAAAAUAGAUAAAAUGUCUUUCUACCUCAUCUGUAAUAUUCAAGGUGAUAAUCUCCCACAGAACUAUUGAUAACAGUCCACAUCAAGUCUCUCCACUUCUCUCAGUGUGAAAACAUAAUUAUAUAAUUAAUUUGAGAACUGUUUACAAAACUGAUGUGUGGAGAUUAAAAUCAUAUCUAAACUGUCUAAUUCACUGUAAAACUCCAUGACAUUCGCAGGCCAUCUGUAGUUAAGGGAGCAACGUAUGGAGUGAUGUGUAGAGGGCAGAAACUUGGACUAUGGGCAGAGAAGGUCUCUGGUUCGUCUCCGGUUCGACUCCACGGAGAGACAACAAAAGACAAACCUGGAUUGAUCUGUCCAAAAAUCCAAGAGUCUCCCUACCCUCUCUAGUGCCCCUGAGCAAGGCACCUCACUCCCCCAACAUCUGCUCCGUGAGCGCCGUACAUGGUCGCUCACUGCUCUGUGUGUCCUGCACCAGAUGGGUAAAAAGCAGAGAUUAAAUUUCCCUACCUGCAUGAGUGUGCCUUUGCAUGUCUGUGCAUGUGUUUGGGACGAAUAAAUGGAUCUUAAUCUUAAUCUUUUAAUCUUAAUCAGUUGUCUUCCAGUUGACCAGCAUGAAGCUGCAAAUCUCCACCAUGUUGCUGCUGAGGACAUCAGGAGCUGCAUUAAUGAGGAGCAGAAGCGCACUGUUAUGAAUGUUUUGUGUUGUGUAUGAAGCACCACAUAUUUCAGAUAGAACCGAUGUACUGGGGUCUGGGUUUGUAUACUAAUGGUUAAAUGCACAUACUUUAAAUCGCUUUUGAUAAAA